CCUGGUUCCAGCUGCAGGCAGACCGCUCUGUCCCAGCAGACCUGGGCUGCCUGAGAUAAGGGGUCCCUCAGGGUGCAGGCCCUCAAGCUCUGGUCACGCAACUGUAAGCUCGGCCUCCAUGGGGGUUCCUGACCCUGCUGGGGCGUGCUGAGGUUUUUCCAGGCCAUGGUCAAAUCUGGGCAAAGGAGAGAGGUUUUCGUAAAGCUGCUUGGUUUUUUUCCAUAAAGUUCUUUAUUAUAAGAAUUUGUCCUCACUUAAGGAAUGAAAUUAUGGUGAUGGUAAAUAGCACUUUUUAUUUUGGUAAGGUAUGAUAUUAGUUUCUUUUUAAGUGGCAGUCCUUUGUCAAUCCUGAACUGAAAAAGAAAAUGACUAUCCUGUGAAUGCCUGAGAAUAAUGGGAUGGGAGGCGGGAGAAGGGGUACAGGUUUAAAAUCAAAGGCCUGGUGGAUGUAGGAUUUGAUCCUAUUGGGACAGGAAGGGAACAAAGCAGGGUUUUUCAUCAACAGUUCCUCACCACCCCCCAAAAAAGUAUAGAGAACCGUCAAAAUCCCUGAGCUUCUGGCUGGCCCUUGCAAGUGUUCCUGGUGUGCUCUUUCUUUCAUCCAGUUUCUGGCCAAGGCUCCAUCCACGGAUGAAGGGGAAAGCACUGUCUGUCCAGUGGAACACGAGCACUGGGGAAGCUCCUCUUAAGAACAUAUCACCCAUCCUCAACUCACCCACUGAAAUUCUACUACCAGUAAUGUACUGCUUUGGGUAGAAUGCAAGCCUCUGGUUUAUUUAAGUGAUUUAAUGCAUCAGUUCUUUAAUAUUUAAUUAAUUAAUUUUAAAAAGAUUUAUUUAUUUAUUUGAGAGUAUGAGCAGGAGGGGCAGAGGGAGAGGGACAAGCAAACUCCAUGCUGAGCAUGGAACCCAACACAAGGCUUGAUCUCAUGACCCUGAGAUCACGAUCUGAGUGGAAACCAAGAGUCCGAGGCCUAAUAGACUGCACCAGCCAGACGCCCUGCAUCAGUUCUUUUACAGUGCAUUAAAACCGUAGGCAAGAAAAUGUUUUUGUGGCAGUUAGUAUAUUGCCUGGUGCACUGAAAAUGUACAAAUAUGAUGAUGAUGAUAAUGAUGAUAAUAUUAACAUCACUAAAUCCUAACAAAACCCAAAAAGGUACGUGCUAAUAUUAUCCCCAAUUUUUGGCUGAGGAAACUGAAAUUUAGAGAGAUUGAGUAAGUUACUCAAAGCCACACUGCUUGGAAGCAGAGAGCCAGGGUCAAAACAGACACAGACAGUGUCACUAGGCCGGGGGGACCUUGAGGGACAGGUGGUGCAGGUCGGGCUGAUGUGGCGUUUAGCGGGCCAGUGAGUUCCCUCAUUCUCACUGUACUGCUGGAUGGGCAAUACUAGCUUAAAAGUGCUUCAGGUGAAAACACAAAACCCUUUCUCAAACUUUAUUUCUCUUUGUCCUUCUUUUUCCAUACCUUCCUCUCUCCUGGCACUCCCUGUGUGAUUCUGGAAGAACCUACUAAAGGAGACAAACCAGAAAGAUCCUUCCAGGACAACAUCUUGCAUCUGCAAUAUGUAGGAGCACUAUCUAAUACUAGUGUCUCACAUACAGUGGGUGCCUAAUAAAUGUUUGCCAAUCAUUAUGAGAAGGAAGCCUCUUCCAGGUCUCUGUCAAGCAGCCAGUGGUGUUCUUGAGCACCCCAGCCAAAGUCUCCUUCACUGAGCAUGCCCCACAGUGGGCUCCAUGCCUAUUUUCAACCCUACAUCUCUCCCUACACAUGGCCAACUCAAACUCAUUAUUUAUUUAUUUAUUUUUAAAGAUUUUAUUUAUUUAUUUGAGACAGAAUGAGAGAGAGAGAGAGAGCACAUGAGAGGGGGGAGGGUCAGAGGGAGAAGCAGGCUCCCUGCCGAGCAGGGAGCCCGAUGCGGGACUCAAUCCAGGGACUCCAGGAUCAUGACCUGAGCCGAAGGCAGUCGCUUAACCAACUGAGCCACCCAGGCGCCCUCAAACUCAUUAUUAAUUAUAAUACUUCUGAAAGAUGUAGGAGGUAUGUAGCACAAUCCCAUUGUCAAAUUCAGGGAAUGUCAUCUGAUAUGUACCAUCACCUUCCAUUACCUACCCAAAUGUGUCUACUACAGUCCUGGAAAUCUGAAAAACCAGUGAGUAAGGAUAGCACCUGUCCCACACCACCUAAUUAAUGCAGGGCUCUAAGGAAGUGAAUGCAGGUGUUGGAUCAGGGUCCCUGAGAGAUUAGAAUUUGUCAAUGCCUCCAGAUAUGGAAAAAUGUUAGACCUUUCACUCCCAGCCCACCCCAAAGUAUACCUUCUUUUAAGCAAAAUCAGCCAUUCUUCUGAUAUUAAUCUUUGGCAUCCACUUAUUAAUUCUCCAGUCAUUUGUUAAGAGGUAGUGAAUUAAUUAUGACAGAGACUAUGGAGCUGUAGCUCUGUGUAUGGGAGAAACCAUUUCAAACUGAUUUUCAAUUCCCAAAACUUUAAUUUUCAACACUAAACAAGGAUUUGCCAAAACUCGCUAUUUCAUUUUUUAGUUGAGCCAGCACCAAAUGGUAGGCAAUUUUUUUUUUUAAGAUUUUAUCUAUUUAUUUGAGAGAGAGAGAAUGAGAGAGAACACAUGAGAGGGGGGAGGGUCAGAGGGAGAAGCAGACUCCCCGCCGAGCAGGGAGCCCGAUGCGGGACUCAAUCCAAGGACUCCAGGAUCAUAACCUGAGCCGAAGGCAGUCGCUUAACCAACUGAGCCACCCAAGUGGUAGGCAAUUUUUUUUUUAUUGAAUCCAUCUGUAUCCGAAGAAUAUUCUAGAUGCUCUGGAAGAAAACUUUCCAAGCUCUAUAUUAACUACUGAGUGUUGACAUCUGGACCUCACACUGAUGCUCUUGCUCUAGCAGAUGCACUCACAAACGAUGUGCAUUACCAUUUCAAAUCGUCGGUGUAUAUUUCAUUCCAAUACGGGCACUAAUUUUAUUUGUAUGAAGUUGCAGACUUAACAGGAAAAGAGAAGGGGAAAUCAGACUUUUUUGUUUGGCCAGGUUGGUAAUCCUAACUUCACAGAUCUUAUGGUCGAAGCAAGGAAGAGGCCAACAUAGUUAGAGAGCCAACUUUAUCUGGCUCUUCCACAAAGAACAGGCAUUCUCCUUGCCCAGCCGGGAGAGAAAACAAAACCCACUAACUGGAUGCAAAGAUGUUGCACAGCCUUCCCUUUCUUUUCUUUUCUUUUUUUUUUUUUUAAAGAUUUUAUUUAUUUAUUUGAGAGAGAGAGACUGAGAGAGAGAGCACAUGAGAGGGGGGAGGGUUGGGAGGGUCAGAGGGAGAAGCAGACUCCCUGCUGAGCAGGGAGCCCGAUGCGGGACUCGAUCCAGGGACUCCAGGAUCAUGACCCGAGCCGAAGGCAGUCGCUUAACCAACUAAGCCACCCAGGCGUCCUCAGCCUUCCCUUUCUGUGUGCAGGGUCAUGCACACACUGCCAUUCUGUUCCUUCUGAGUGCCUGGCUGCUUAGAAAAGUUUAAGAAUAAUUCUGAGUUGCACAGUGAUCAAACCAACCUUGGGUUAAGACUCUCAGUCCUCCUCCUUUUUAAAAGGAUCAAGUACAAAAACACUUCAAAGGGGCUACAUAUAAUUCAGGAAUACAGACAGGUAGGGGAGAAUCACUUUAGGAAGAAGAGUAGAGAAGUUUUACCAGCUGUCCAUAGCAUUAGAGCCAGGGAUUUAAGACAUGGGUAGUUAUUUCUAGGCUUAAAAAUGCUAUGCUUCCAUUUAUUCUGUAGAUUAUGAAGUCUAUUUCCACAAAGAGCAGUUAAAAUUGGGUUGGGACAGAAAAGCAACCUAGAGAAGCAGAAAAGGGAAAGGAUGAGAAAAAAAAUUCUUGUGCACAUGGAACACAUCAGAGGCAACAGACUUCUGGGGACACUUUGACCUCAGCUUUACCUUUGUAAAUAUCCUACCUCACUUUUUUUAUUUCCUCCUGAUGUGUCCCACCUGUUAAUACCAGGUAAAACCUUUUCUUUUAUCAAGGAAUAUAAGGAAAUGAGUCUGCCCGCAAGUUUUGUUUUUGUUUUUUAAGAUUUUAUUUACUUAUUUGACAGAGAGACACAGCCAGAGAGGGAACACAAGCAGGGGGGGUGGGAGAGGGAGAAGCAGGCUUCCCGCUGAGCAGGGAGCCCGAUGCGGGGCUCGAUCCCAGGACCCUGGGAUCAUGACCUGAGCCGAAGGCAGACGCUUAAUGACUGAGCCACCCAGGCAUCCCUUGUUUGGUUUUUAAUACAUCUUCUUUUAAAAACAUUUGCCAAUCAGAGUUUCAACCACACAAUGGAAUUUUCACCCUUUUAUUCUGUUUUUAGAAUAUAGUUGCUGCUUAGACUUGGUAAUGGGUUUAUUAAUCCUUUACUGGGUAGACAAAAAGAUUCUUCGUUGUGGCAUUAACCAGGGUUUCUCAACCUUGGCAUUGUUGAAGUUUUGGACCAGAAAAUUCUUUGUUGGGGCUGUUCUGUGCAGUGUUGGAUAUUCGGCAGCAUCCUUGGCUUUUACCCAAUGGAUGCCAAUAGCACUUGCUGUGAAAACCAAAAAUGUCUCCAGACCCUGCCAAAUGCCCCCCUUCCAGGGGCAAUUCUUCCUUCCACCCUAGAAACACUAGCCACUGGCUUUAAGGAAAUCAUUAAAAUAUGAAAAGGAGAUAUUAAAGUAGACAUCCAUCGGAAAGAUCAAAAUUCUUAUUUCCCAAGUAUUUCGUAUUUGAAGAGUAUUUUAGUAGAUCUUAUUCAUUCUUAGCCUCCCCUAAUUACACGGUGGGCUCAUCCACUGAUCUCUGACAUGGCAGAAUCCUCUCCCAGCCCCAAGAGAGAUUGUUAGUCAUGAGAAUUCCAUUUCCUUUUGCCCAUUUCUCAGUUCUAGACUGAGACAUAAAAGGGGGAAAAUGUUUGAGAAGUCUUCCUCUUAUAAGAUUAAAAAAUAGUAAUUAUAAAUAAGAUCCUCUCUAAAAGAAAAAAAAAAGUCUUUUUGCCAUAUGUGUUUUUUCCCCACUAGAAAGUCUGUCUUUUAAUGUGAUAGGACUGCUUGGACCAUGAGCAGUCCCUCACAAUUACAAGGAACCAAGAGAAAGGAAAAAAAAAAAGAAAGAAAGAAAGAAAGAAAGAAAGAAAGAAAGAAAGAAAGAAAGAAAGAAAGAAAGAAAGAAAGAAAGAAAGAAAGAAAGAAAGAAAGAAAGAAAGAAAGAAAGAAAGAAAAGAAAUGCCAACAGCUUGAGCAAGGUAAAGCAGAAAAAAACAAAAGAGCUUCAGUCCUUGAUGAUAUCUUUGAACCAUUGAACCAGCCUUGGAAUGUCCACCUCAGACUGCUGGUUAGUUGAAAUAAUUCAACACUUUUAUUGCUUAGCCAAAUCAAUAGUUGGCAAACUCUGAUUUGUGGGUCAAAUGCAGGAACUAAGAACUGUUGUUACAUUUUUAAAAGGUUGUUAAGAAACAAAGGUUGUUAAAAAUAAACAGCCAUAUGGGGCCCACAAAUUCUUAAAUAUUUACUAUGUGGCCCUGCAUAGAUAAAGUUUGCCAAUCCCCAAUCUCGACCACUCAUAGCUAAUGUCUUGUGAUUUGCAACUCAAAGCAUUCUUAACUAAAACAAGUACUGAUAUCUUCAUUUUACAAUUAUAGAAACUGAAGCUUGAAUCUGCCAACGGUAGGCUCAACUAGACAAGUCAAAUACAAACUUGCCAUUAUUUCAAUUCAUUGUAAAGUUAAGCCAAAUUGAGGCAUCACAAAAUAUUUAAUAAACUUUUCUAUAUUUUAGGGCUUCGAAUCAUAUUUGUACCAGAGGCUUGAUUUUACAAAUCAGAAUAGAUGAAGCCUCUUGAUGAAACACAAUAUGCUCAGUGAAUACCUUCAAAGGGGGUCAGACUGUCCUACUAUCUGGAGCACCAAGGCAUUUCCUGCCCUAGGAAGUCAAACCUGGAGACCCCAAAGAGGAAAAGACAUUACAGAAACACACUAGGAACAAACUCGCUGAUUUGAUAAAUUACCUUUUCUGCUUGCUGAAACAGUUCCUGCAUUUCCUUGCUGACUCACUUAGAGAGAGUGAAUUCUUAGUGGAAAAAAUCCAAAGGCUUCCUCCAUUAACUUUAGCACCCAAGUUAAUACUGCUGUUUCCAGUUGGACCAGCAUGUUUGGUAGCACCUUGAUAAAGGAUUUAAAUAUUGAUAAAAUCUUAUACUCAGAGUCAGGUCCAGAAGAAGGCAGACAGAGCUCAUUGUGGAGAGCCCAUCAGAUGAGUGUUGUACGAGUUACAGUAAACAUUCGCCCACAUCUAACCAUGGGGCCAUAACUGAGCACUGAAUGACUGACUGGCAGGGCCAGGCUUUUCUCAGUUGAUCCAACCAACAUUUCUUUGCCUUUGUGUCCCAGUGUCUAUCCCAGUAUAGGAGGUGGUCAAUCAGGAACAAAAGCCCUCGGUCUACACCCAAUACUGGUUGUGCUUCAGUGUUGGGUUGGUUUGUCGGCAGAACUGGACCAUAUCGGGAUCCAGACUCAUCCAUGUCUCCCAAGGAGCACAUUUCUCCACUGGCUCAGUGGCUGGAGAAGCCAUUUGCUCACUUUGUGGGUCCCUGAAAAGACUGACUGGGGGAUUUCUGGAGCUUUUUAGAAGGGGUGUCACUGUGACAGUGGGAACAGUUAUGCUCCUUUCUGGCCUAGGACCUGGGGUUGUAGGUUCAAGAUUGGUCUGAGACUUGAUAAGAGGUUUUGUCUUUUCUACCUUCUGGCCCAGCAGCCAGACACACAAGGCCACUGCAGUUAUCAUCAGCAGGAAGACCACCACAGCCAAGGGUACAAUGACCAUCAGGGGAUAACUGCUCUCCCUGGGCUGGGUGGGUGCCUCAGGACUGGCGUUGGUUGUGUCUGGUGGCCAGAUGACCCUAGCUGGAGAAGCUUUGCCAUCCAGAGUAGACUCUUCACCACGGUGUUGUCCCCAGGGCCUUGCUUCCUGCUGCCUGGUCUGGGUCAGCUUCCCUAGAGUUUCUGUCUUUGCUGUGGGUCCUGAGGAAACCACGGGCUUUUCCUGAGAGAGAUCUGAAGUCACAAGGUUAUCUGUAGUGACUAAUAAAGAAACAUCAGGGGUAAAGUUUUGCAAACAUAAGGGGUCAGGUGGCACUAUGGUGAAGGGUAGAUGACCUAUUGCUGGCUGCACAUGGUCUGCCCUGAGCAAGAAAGUGAAGGAGUCAUUCAGCAUAUCAAUGCCUGUUAGGUUGGCAUGUGGAUGAAGCAUCAACAACCCUUGGUCAAUGUCCCUCUGAGUGAAUAGAGUAGCGUUUUCCAUUGCCGUGCCUCGGCCCACUCUUCGUACAAGUCUUCCAUGGACAGGGAGUUCGGUCACUUCAAAUUUGGGAUCACCGUUAGUCCUAUUAGCAAGCUCAGUCGCAUCAAGGUCCUUUCUUCUCAGCUGAUAAACCUCCCUGUUGGCGAUGGUCAGGUUUGACGUAACCUGCAGUAAAGGCUGCACCCUGAUGUUCAGUGUUUGUCCCGUCAGAUUGCUUUCUGGUGUAAAUAGUGAGAAAUACAGCUGGUCCUCUGAGGCCAUGAGAUGUGUCAUAUGGUAAGAAAGUCUUCCUGAAUGCAGAUCUUCCUGCCCAAAGCUGACAACCACCUGGUUUUCAAUGAGCAGAUGCCCAUGUUGGGGGGGCCAUGUCAUCUUGUAAGUGAUUUGGGGGCUUCUCCCAUUGGUCGUUGCUGACAAGUGAGUAUUGGUGAUGGGGACAGUUGUCUGGCCUUGUGGGAGAAGUAGGUCCGUGAGGUUCACAAGGGUGAUGGAGAUGGGGAUGACAUCCAGGUGGAAGAGCUUAUAGAGUGGGCGGUGUUGGCCAUCAGUCACACUAAAGUAAAACACACUCGAAGAUGGGCUUCCAUCUUGUACAAACCAUACCUGAGAGUUAUCAAUGUCAGCUUGUGUGAAAUGGUGAACAGGUACGUCUGGAUGGUGAGCCAUUGCCAAAAAGCCAUUAUUAGGAUUACGGAUGAUCAUAUAUCUGAUCUCCUCUGGAGGACUGUCUAGAUCUUCCACUCUUAGGUUUUCUGGUCCCACAACCAACCUAUUUCCCUGCAGAACUUUCAACCGAAGCCCUUUUGUCUUUAAUUCUGGUGCCUGGUCAUUAACAGGAGAUAUGGUGAUGUUAAACAUCUCUUCAAGGAAGUCAGCCUCUGGCUUGGUGGUGGACUUGCUCUUCUGUUUCGGCCAAACGGCAAAGGUAAAAUUAUCAGCCAGCGAUUCAGAGUCAUCGUGAAGGAUGAAGAGUGAUUGUCCCAGGGAAAGAAUGGUUCUCAAAGAUGAGAAUAGUUGAGAUGAAGGUCAAAAAUCUGAGGGAAAUUAAUUGGAAAGGAGCCCCAACCAUAGCUAUGUACUUUGGAAGACUCCUGGAGGAGAGGUCUGCUAUCGGUUCUUUUCCUGAAAAGUCAUUCCAAAAGUGAGAAAUUGUGAAUAACUUAUUGACUCAUUUUAUGCUGGAGAGUGAGAGAAUUGAAUUAGAUUCAUCUUGAGCGUAUGAGCUUCAAGACCGGACAGCAGAUAAUUGAAAGUGCUGAGCUAGAAGCAAAAGGGAAUGAGUGUGCCUGUGGAAUGUCAACUUGGCAGUCAUGCCCUGAAGGAGCUUUGAGGUGAGUAGAGUCUUUAAUAUUUAGAAGAUAGAGAGCUUUAAGAAUCAGAUUCCAGGGGCGCCUGGGUGGCUCAGUCAGUUGAGCAUCUGAUUCUUGAUCUCAGCUCAGGUCUUGAUCUUAGGGUCGUGAGUUCCAGCCCCACGUCGGGCUCCACACUGGGCAUGGAGCCUACUUAAAAAAUAAACAAAUAAGAACCAGGUUCUAAGGUGUGUGUACGUGGGCGUAUGCAUGUGUGCAUGUGCAUGUAUGUGCGUGUGUGUGUGUGUGUGUGUGUGUGUGUGUGUGUGUGUGGUGGAGAGGGCUAGAAAAGGGAGAACAAGACCAAGACUUUAUGGGAAAAAAUGUAAGGUAAACCUCAAGAGAGAAGGAUCUCAGACAGGAUUAGGAAUUUUGUUACCUCAAAUAGAAAGUGGCCGUAGGGGCAACUUCCAACAGCUCUGCAUAUUUCUGCUGUAUUCAAUAUAGAUCAAUAAACCACUUAGCUGAAUACCUGGGCUCUGAGAUUAAGGAGAGGGGAGGUUUUUAUUUCUAAUGGGAUUUAGAUUAGCCCAGAUAUUUUCUCUUUUACAGAUGAAGUCUUUUUGGAAUGUCAUUAGAAAUUAAAAUUUGUAUAAUUCCAACUAGUAAAUGCAGAUGGAAAAACAGAAUGAGAAAAAUCACCAUUUGGCAAUCACCAUAGUAAUAAAUAUCUCACAGGAAUCCUAAAUGAUUGCUUACACUAGCGAGCUAAGUUGUGAUGAGAAACAGGGUAUUUAAAUAGUUCCAAAGUAUUCCCUCACAAAAUACUUAAUUACAGAAAGGGAAAUAUUAAGUUCGCCAAGGAGAAACCUGAAAGAUAGCACCUGACUAAGUGGCGAACAUCAUCAGUGACAGGGUGGAGUGAGCAUUGGUGCUUCCUGAUGUGAGGCCGGAGGAGACCUCAGCAUCGCUCAUGGCCAUUCCCGCCAAAAUGCACAACCUAAAUUGGACUGUGAGGAAACAUCCAAUGAAACCAAACUGAGGAACACACUACAAAUAACCGGCCUGUUCUCAAAAAAUGGCCACGUCACAAAAGUCAGCAAGACUGCAGAAUGCUUUCAGAUUAAAGCAGACCAAGGACACCUGAAAACUAAAUGCUACGUUUUACACUGUGGAUUUUUUUCUUUAGGAUAUUCUUUUUUUCUAGAGGAUAUGCAUUGAAACAACCUGUGAAAUUUGAAUAAGGUCUACAGAUUAUAUAAUAGAUUGUAUCAAUGCUAAUUUCAUGAUUUUGAAAAUUAUACUGUGGUUAUAUGAGAAAGGCCUUAUUUUUAAGAAAUAUGCACUAAGGUAUUUAGAGGUAAAGGUACAUCAUGUCUGCAACUGCCUCUUAAAAUUUCAGAAGUGUGUGUGUGUGUGCAUGUGUGAAGAGGUAUGAUAAAGCAGGUAGUUAAAAGCUAACAUUUGGGUAAUAUGGAUGAAUAGUAUACUUUGUACUCUUUUGCAAUCGUUCUGUAAGUCUGAAAUUAUGUCAAAAUGAAAAAGUUAAAAAAAUAAUUCUAAAAAGUAAAUCCCAUAGUGUUUUACUAUUUCAACUUCAGGAAGGGACCAAUAAUUUCUUUUCUCUGAUGACCAAGUAUGUGCAGAAUGGGGGAGGGGGGCUAACCUUUGCAUGCCUUGGGCACUCUGACAUCAAGAAGUGCUCGUUUCCUAUCCCAACAUCGUUCCCCCCACCUCCAACUUGGUCCAUUUCUCUAGUACCUCAACAAGGCUGUACUCCUAACUAACAUAUGAGUGGGUGAAUAUGCAGGUCAAAAUCCUAGACCUGAGAAGUCCUUUUAUUUGAAAUGACAAUAUCAUAACACCCCUUGGAUCUCUGAGAUUUAAAUCUUCUGGAUUUCAUAUCCUUGAUUCCUACAGAACCACAAAGAAAAAUAUUUGUCAGAGGCCAAAGGCAUAAAUUUGGCUCCAUGAAGGCCAGGGGCCCUACUGAAUUUUCUGUGCUGGAUUAAAGUUUACAACUCAGAGGCUGCUGAGCAGCUCAGAGAGGGUGGGAAUUUAGGGAACUCCUCUCCAUCUCCUCAGUCAUCGACCUAGUUGGGAGAAGAGCUGAGACCAGAAGCCAGAUCUCCACACUUAUAGAUAAGAACCCUUUCUCCUAGAGCACUUGAUUGGAGACUGUUUGGCUCCAGCUGCCUGAAUGAUUACUCUUCUUCCUCCAAGGAGGAAAAGGAUACACAUUAAUAUAAAAAUGGAAGCAGAGGAGUGUAGUAGAAUUUGAACCAUGGGUUGAUCAGACCUACAUUCAAAUAUAAAUGCUUCCAACUUUCAGCUCUGUGGCUUUUAUGCAGGUAAUUUAAUCUCUCUGAGCUUACAUUUCUGCAUUAAAGUAUGGAAUAACAUCUCUCUUGUAAAUAUACAUUUAACCUAGUCUUUUGCCAUAUUAAUGUUCAAAACAACAUGCCCUGAGCAUUUCUAAGUCUUUCAGGAAAGCAUCUAAGUCUUCACUAAUCAAUUCCUUACUAGAACAUCAGCGGAUUCUGGUUAAAAUGGAAGGCUAUACUUAUUUUUAAUAAAGAAUCAUGGCAUGAAAAUAUUAAGCAAUUAGAAAUUUCUAAAACACGCCUAAUAAAAUAAAUCUUUUCUCAUAAAACAAAGAAAUAGUUAGCCUGGAAUUUUGGCACAUACUCCAGAAACUUACUUCCAGUUGCUUUGUAAAUAAGUAUUAGUUCACCAUCCUAUACUUGACAUUUCAAAAAAUAUUUGUUUAAUGAAUAAGCUACUUAAAAAGUGCUUUACAAAAUUUAAUUAUAAAAUAUGUUUAUAUCAUGAAGCAGUAGAAACAAGGUAAUCCAAGACAUUUCUUACCCAUUUAUUUAACAAAAACACAAACAGUACCUUUUACUGAGCCCUAAAUAUGUGUCAGACUCUCUGCAAGGCAUAUCAUGUAACUCAUUUUAUUUAAUUUUGUUUUAAGGGCCUUAUUAUAUCCACUUGACAGAUAAAAAAAAAAAAACCUGAGGCUCAGAAAAUUUAAAUAAUUCACUCACAGCCAACAAGUGGGAGAGCCCAGUUUUUAAUCUAGUCCCAUGUGACUCCAGAAUUCAUGUUUUUUUCCACUGCACUGUUCCUUCAGCAUGGAAAGCUCAAUGAGAUUCUAGGCAACUAAGAAAUUCGCAAGAUAUGUGCUCCAGCUUUAAGGGGUUUAGUAAUGUCAAAAGUCAGUUGGUAGGUAUGGCUAGGGCAGACAAAUGCCAUUUUGUGGUCUGGCCUGGCUAGAACAUAAUCACCAUUGGCCAGAACUUGUAAGGAUUCAAAGAAACAGCUCAUUCUAUAUACUGCAUUUAUUACAAAAGGAAAGUUAAAGAAAACCUGUGUUUUAUAUUUUCUUUUAUACUACUGCCAUUGUAUAUCAGGUACAAACUUUCUCAUAGGACCUUAGAGGAAAUAACGUGGAUUGAGGGGAAAGGAGUUUCCAUCUAGAUCAAGGCUGAGGGCAAUUCUUUUCUGGCCCCAAGGUGACUGGCAGACACCUAUUUUCUUCAGGCUAAGCUCUUUAAACCUGAAGGCAUUUUUAUAGUUCCUCAUUGUUUGACCACAUGAUUUUACACAUGUGUAAAACACAAACCUCAGUGUUAUUCAGAUUUUUUGUGUGGGUGGGCAAGAUAUAGUUUUUUUUGUUUUUUGUUUUGGCAAGAUAUAAUUAUUAAACAUUCACAUAUUACAAAGGGUCAUUAUGAGUGCUCUGGAUGAACCCAGGGGUGAAGUGGGAGCUUUGAUACACCAUGCUGGUGAAGUCAACCAUGACAUAGAAUCUGACAAUUUUUCCCCCCAAAUCGUGUGCACAUUCUCUAGAUCCGCAAAAGUACAUGCAGACAGGACUGAGUGUUAAGAGAAUAAAACUGUCAGACUUGGCCAAAGACAGGCUAGAAUGCUCUGGAGCAUCUCUUCAUUCUGAGGGUCUUUAUAAAUCCAGUUCUCUAUGGUCCUGAUAAGAACAUCAGACAUAAGUCUUUCACAGUGAUCUCUUCCAUGGUGGGGCUUAAAAGUCACUCACAGCUUUGAAAUUCCCACUGGAGAAGAGAGUAACCAAAUUAUCUUGGAGUCAGCUGGGAAAAGGGAGAGGGAGAAAGGGAAACAUGGAGUCCGUUCACUUGCUUCUCCAAAACACGAUGGUUUUGUUAAAGGUCCCAGUCUCUAGACAGGAUAACUGUUGUCCAGAAGAAGCAAGGGAAACAGAACUGGCCAAAAAGUCUCUAUCUUGGGCAAAUCUUCAUGGAGAAAGGAGAUUGCAGAAAGCCAAACACUUCAGAAAGGUCGGGUCUCUAAGGUUCCAUAUGGGUUAACCAAAAAGUCCUAUAAGCUAAGAUUUGGAAGGCAACAAGGUCCUGUGCUCCUGAAGGAUGAGCUCAGACAAAUGACUCCUCUUCAUGUGCCCUUCCUUACUUUUACCAGGACUGACACUAUCAUGUGUGCAGUGAGUAGUCGGGUCUGGAGGGCUUAAGGUUCCCAGAAGAGGUCAGAAGUCUGGGGCAGCCCAGGGAGUGGCAGCUUGGAGAGAUUUUCCUUAAUGAGAAUGGAUAGAAGACCUAAGUUCCUAAAUGGCGCUAUCUGGAAAUCUCCAGCUAGAAAUGGGCAACUGAAAACCAGGUCCAAAUAAUUACCCAUGCCCCUCCAUGACUGAGCCAAUCUCCACACAAAAAAAACUAGAUUAGAAAGCUUUUCAAGGAGCCCAGCAAUAUAGCCAUCUAUAGGCCUACUUGGCAGAAAGGUCUAAAUCCACAUUUAUAUAGAAGUGAACAUUGAUUCUCACGGGCUAUGCCAUUAUAAGCAAUGGAAACCUUUAAUAAAACUACCAAAUGAGAUCAUAGAAAAGGUGAUUCAUCAGGUAGUAUGGGACAUCUUGCUUAUUUUAUAGAUGAGUGUAGUAGGCUAAAAAUGUCCCCCCCACCACGAAAUAUCAGAUCCAAAUCCCUUGAACCUGUGAAUAUUACCUUUUUUUUUUUUUUUAAGAUUUUAUUUACUUAUUUGAGAGAGAGUGUGAGAGAGCACAAGCAAGGGGAGGGGCAGAGGGAGAGGGAGAAGCAGGCUCCCCGCUGAGCAAGGAGCCUGAUGCGGGGCUCAAUCCCAGGAUCCUGGGAUCAUGACCUGAGCUGAAGGCAGAUGCUUAACCGACUGAGCCACCCAGGCGCCCCGAAUAUUACCUUCUUUGGCAAAGACUUGGCAGAUGUGAUUAAGGAUCCUGAGAUUGGAAAUUACCCUGGACUGUCGAGGUGGGCCCUAACUGCAGUCACAGACAUCCGUACCAGAGGGAGGCAGAGGGAUAUUUGACUUGGAUGAAAGAGGAGAUAGGAAAGUGACCAAUGGAGGCAGAGAUUGGAAUGAUAAAGCCACACACCAAGAAAUGCUGGCCGCUACCAGAAGUUUCAAAAGGCAAGGAAGGAAUUCCCCGUUACAGCCUCCAGAGGGAGGCUAACAGCUUGAUUUCAGCCCAGUGAAAUGGAGUCUCAACUUCUGACCUCCAGAACUAUGAGGUAAUACGUUUCUGCUGUUUGAAGUCACCAAGUUUGUGGUAAUUUAUGAUAAGAGCCAUAGGAAACUAAUACAAGGAGAAAAGAGAAAUCAGUCUCACUGAAAUGGGAAUUAGUUCUAUCUGCUUUUUCAAAGGAAGAGCCAAAAGUUCUCAGAAGAAAAAAUACUUCUGGUUAUUCAAAGUCACUGGGCCAGGACCCACGAGCCAAAUUUCAGUUUGAACAAGGAAUAGAUGAGCAAGUGACAACUGAAUAUUUCUACACGUGGGAAAUAUGCUGGCACAUAAUUCAGUGAACUGUGAUGGCAAAACCCAAAUUGCCAAAAUGAAACACUGGUAGGAAAUGUCCAAAAUGAUCACUGAGUCUAGUUGCCAUGGAGCUUGCUACUGAAGAGGCCCCAAGAAACUGGGGGGUGAGGACAAGAGUAAUCAUUAACACAAAGACACUGAUCCUUCUCUGCUCAGAAAAUGAAAGGGCCCAAGUUUAAUGAUCCCAUUGUGCUCUCCAUUAAGUUGUAAUGAAUUACUUUCUAUCCUAUGGGAAAUGUGCUCUCAAUUUCUUAAAAUGUCUGUGUUAUCUUGAGCACAAAUUCAGACUCCAGGAGAAGAGGUAAUUGGACAGAAUUCACAACACUGCGAAUGCACUGUAUUAUUUUCUAAGUGUGGGCCUGGAAGGCUCUGUUUGUUGUGUUCCAGUAACAUUGAUGAAGAUGGAUGAUCUUUCCUCCACAAUGGCACAGUGGCUUAAACGUAAUUACUGGCUUUAUGGAAAAGAAAAAAGGCCAGACAUCAGAAACCUCAAAACCAAAACACUUUGCUUUUUAAUGAUUCCAAAUGAUCUAAACAUGCACUGGAAUGAAAAUCACUCAAUUAGCCCUCUGCUCUACUUGGAGUGCUUUAUAGAAUUCAAUUCAUACUUUUUUAACACAUUCUUUGAAAUGAACAAUAAAUCUCUAAAAUUGUAAAAAGCUUUCAUUUCAUAAAAUUUGAUGAUUCACUUU
Long non-coding RNA from Mirounga angustirostris (Northern elephant seal), 15121 nucleotides. RefSeq lists it as uncharacterized. The transcript has 3 exons. The record is from RefSeq and is a predicted model, not a curated record. Lineage: Eukaryota; Metazoa; Chordata; Mammalia; Carnivora; Phocidae.